CCCACACCCAUGUGUGUAGGACCUUAAAGAAUCACCAUUAUAUUUGGCACAUAUCUCUAGAAAAGUUAUUACAUGGUGUGGGACUUGACUUUUCUAGAGAUAUGUGUCAAAUUUAAUAGUGAUCUUUUGGGGUCCUAAAUACAUGGGUGUGAG
RNAcentral lists this microRNA precursor (153 nucleotides) under Amborella trichopoda. RNAcentral describes it as "MIR8565 microRNA precursor family". It matches the Rfam family "MIR8565 microRNA precursor family". The record is from Rfam by way of RNAcentral. Lineage: Eukaryota; Viridiplantae; Streptophyta; Magnoliopsida; Amborellales; Amborellaceae.